Molecule: unclassified non-coding RNA, 376 nt
Filed under: Hevea brasiliensis (rubber tree)
Lineage: Eukaryota; Viridiplantae; Streptophyta; Magnoliopsida; Malpighiales; Euphorbiaceae
Source: RNAcentral
GAUUGAUUGUUAGGUUGAAAUUCGGUGAAUUUAUUUUAUCGGAUUUCGGUGAUAAUUUUUCUGAAUCGAAUCGGACGGCGGAGAUUUGAGGAGAGGGAUGGGUAGAUAGAUAGGUGAAAGUUGAAUCGGUUUAAGAGAUUGGUAAGCGAAAAUGCCAGGGUUAGCGCAGAGAAAUGAUGAGCAAAAUGAUAAUGAAACGGCGGUGUUUAAUGCUUCUAGUAAAUCGAUUUCGAGUAAUGGGUUUUGGUCAAAGCAUCGCGAGGAUAUAAGCUACAAUCAGCUUCAGAAGUUCUGGAGUGAGCUAUCACCUCAAGCUCGGCAGAAGCUUUUAAAGAUUGACAAACAAACUCUCUUUGAGCAAGCUCGUAAGAACAUG